CGCCUCUUGAUCAAAUAUAAGAGGUCUAGCCUGCCCAGUGACGUACUUAAACGGCCGCGGUACCCUGACCGUGCAAAGGUAGCAUAAUCAUUUGUUCUUUAAAUAGGGACUUGUAUCAACGGCAUCACGAGGGUUAUACUGUCUCCCCUCUCUAAUCAGUGAAACUGACCUCCCCGUGAAGAGGCGGGGAUAAAAAUACAAGACGAGAAGACCCCAUGGAGCUUCAAACCCAAUAACAACCUCCUUAAACAAAAAGCCACAAAACUCUGAGGACCUGUAUAUUGGUUUUAGGUUGGGGUGACCACGGAGUAAAAUAAAACCUCCCUGACGAAUGGAUUUAUUCCUAAUCCAAGAGCCACUGCUCUAAGAAUCAAAAAUUUGACGUAACAUGAUCCAGCACUAAACUGAUCAACGAACCAAGUUACCCUGGGGAUAACAGCGCAAUCCAUUUCAAGAGCCCCUAUCGACAAAUGGGUUUACGACCUCGAUGUUGGAUCAGGGUGUCCCGGUGGUGCAGCCGCUACCAAAGGUUUGUUUGUUCAACAAUUAAUACCC
RNAcentral lists this ribosomal RNA (555 nucleotides) under Limnonectes grunniens. RNAcentral describes it as "partial 16S ribosomal RNA". It matches the Rfam family "Bacterial large subunit ribosomal RNA", at positions 1832 to 2596 of the family's 2925-position model. Lineage: Eukaryota; Metazoa; Chordata; Amphibia; Anura; Dicroglossidae. The record is from RNAcentral.